RNAcentral lists this long non-coding RNA (267 nucleotides) under Hordeum vulgare. RNAcentral's name for it is "long non-coding RNA (HVUL_LNC018358)". The record is from RNAcentral. Lineage: Eukaryota; Viridiplantae; Streptophyta; Magnoliopsida; Poales; Poaceae.
GAUCAGAUGCAGAGGACCUGCAUCAACUGGCUGGAACUGACCAUCCUCAAGGAGUAAUGUAUGGUGGAUCAGAUGGGGAGGACCUGCAUCAACUGACUGGAACUGACCAUCCUCAAGAGGUAAAGUAUGGCGGAUCAGGUGCGGAGGACCUGCAUCAACUGACUGGAACUGAUCAUCCUCAAGAGGUAAUAUAUGGCUAAAUACUGCAAAUUUUAUGUUCUACUGACCAUCCUAAGCCAAGCGAUUCUGGUCCCUCUAGUCUUGUCC